Molecule: ribosomal RNA, 431 nt
Filed under: uncultured bacterium
Lineage: Bacteria
Description: bacterial SSU rRNA
Rfam family: Bacterial small subunit ribosomal RNA
Source: RNAcentral
UGGAGGCAGCAGUGGGGAAUAUUGGACAAUGGGGGCAACCCUGAUCCAGCAAUGCCGCGUGAGUGAUGAAGGCCUUAGGGUUGUAAAGCUCUUUCGGCGGGGACGAUGAUGACGGUACCCGCAGAAGAAGCCCCGGCUAACUUCGUGCCAGCAGCCGCGGUAAUACGAAGGGGGCGAGCGUUGUUCGGAAUUACUGGGCGUAAAGGGCGCGCAGGCGGCUCUGAAAGUCAGAUGUGAAAGCCCCGGGCUUAACCUGGGAAUUGCAUUUGAUACUCUGGAGCUUGAGUACGGGAGAGGAGAGUGGAAUUCCCAGUGUAGAGGUGAAAUUCGUAGAUAUUGGGAAGAACACCGGUGGCGAAGGCGGCUCUCUGGACCGUAACUGACGCUGAGGCGCGAAAGCGUGGGGAGCAAACAGGAUUAGAUACCCCGGU